This 642-nucleotide ribosomal RNA is filed under the name uncultured bacterium. RNAcentral's name for it is "bacterial SSU rRNA". It matches the Rfam family "Bacterial small subunit ribosomal RNA", at positions 82 to 711 of the family's 1533-position model. The record is from RNAcentral.
CUUUUAGAGAUGAGUGGCGAACGGGUGAGUAAUACAUAGGUAACCUGCCCCUGUGCGGGGGAUAACAGGAGGAAACUCCUGCUAAUACCGCAUAGCCAUGAGCACCGCAUGGAGCUCAUGCCAAAUAUCCUUUCGGGGAUAGCGCAGGGAUGGACCUAUGGCGCAUUAGCUGGUUGGCGGGGCAACGGCCCACCAAGGCAACGAUGCGUAGCCGGCCUGAGAGGGCGGACGGCCACAUUGGGACUGAGACACGGCCCAGACUCCUACGGGAGGCAGCAGUAGGGAAUUUUCGGCAAUGGGGGAAACCCUGACCGAGCAACGCCGCGUGAGCGAAGAAGGCCUUCGGGUCGUAAAGCUCUGUUGUAAAGGAAGAACGGCGCAUACAGGAAAUGGUAUGCGAGUGACGGUACUUUACCAGAAAGCCACGGCUAACUACGUGCCAGCAGCCGCGGUAAUACGUAGGUGGCGAGCGUUAUCCGGAAUCAUUGGGCGUAAAGAGGGAGCAGGCGGCCGCAAGGGUCUGUGGUGAAAGACCGAAGCUAAACUUCGGUAAGCCAUGGAAACCGGGCGGCUAGAGUGCGGAAGAGGAUCGUGGAAUUCCAUGUGUAGCGGUGAAAUGCGUAGAUAUAUGGAGGAACACCA